GACGAACGCUGGCGGCGUGCUUAAUACAUGCAAGUCGAGCGGAGAGGCCCUGCUUUUGGGGUACUCGAAUGGCCAACGGGUGGGUAACUCAUGCGUGAUCUGCCCUCCUUUUCGGGGUAAGCCUGGGAAACUGGGUCUAGUUACGGACAGGUGCCAUUUUUAAACUGAUGGUUGGAGAGUUAGUUCGGUGUAGGAUGAGCUCGCGGCCUAUCAGCUUGUUGGUGGGGUAAUUGCCUACGAAAGCGGCGACGGGUAGCCGGCCUGAGAGGGUGGACGGCCACAAUGGGACUGAGAGACGGCCCAGACUCCUACGGGAGGCAGCAGUGGGGAAUAUUGCACAAUGGGCGCAAGCCUGAGGCAGCGGCGCCGCGUGGGGGAUGACCGCCUUCGGGUUGUAAACUCCUUUCGCUAGGGACGGAGCAUUUUGUGACGGUAACUAGAUAAGAAGCACCGGCUAACUACGUG
Molecule: ribosomal RNA, 465 nt
Filed under: uncultured bacterium
Lineage: Bacteria
Description: partial 16S ribosomal RNA
Rfam family: Bacterial small subunit ribosomal RNA
Source: RNAcentral